RNAcentral lists this ribosomal RNA (400 nucleotides) under uncultured Alphaproteobacteria bacterium. Its description in RNAcentral is "bacterial SSU rRNA". It matches the Rfam family "Bacterial small subunit ribosomal RNA", at positions 29 to 444 of the family's 1533-position model. Lineage: Bacteria; Pseudomonadati; Pseudomonadota; Alphaproteobacteria. The record is from RNAcentral.
AACGAACGUUGGCGGCACGCUUAACACAUGCAAGUCGAACGAGAAACCCGAGCUUGCUCGGGUGGACAGUGGCAGACGGCUUAGUAACGCGUGGGUAUCUACCUAGAGGUUUGGAACAACUAUUGGAAACGAUAGCUAAUACCAAAUAUUCCCUAAGGGGGAAAGAUUUAUCGCCUUUAGAUGAGCCCGCGUCGGAUUAGCUUGUUGGUAGGGUAAAGGCCUACCAAGGCAACGAUCCGUAGCUGGUCUGAGAGGAUGAUCAGCAAGAUUGGGACUGAGACACGGCCCAGACUCCUACGGGAGGCAGCAGUGGGGAAUAUUGCGCAAUGGGGGAAACCCUGACGCAGCGAUGCCGCGUGAGUGAAGAAGGCCUUAGGGUUGUAAAACUCUUUCGCAGGGA